GAGUUUGAUCAUGGCUCAGGACGAACGCUGGCGGCACGCCUAACACAUGCAAGUCGAACGGAGAUAUUUUGGUUUACUGAGAUAUCUUAGUGGCGGACGGGUGAGUAACACGUGAGCAACCUGCCUCUGAGAGAGGGAUAGCUUCUGGAAACGGAUGGUAAUACCUCAUAACAUGACGAAGCCGCAUGACUUUGUUAUCAAAGAUUUAUCACUCAGAGAUGGGCUCGCGUCUGAUUAGAUAGUUGGUGAGGUAACGGCCCACCAAGUCGACGAUCAGUAGCCGGACUGAGAGGUUGAACGGCCACAUUGGGACUGAGACACGGCCCAGACUCCUACGGGAGGCAGCAGUGGGGAAUAUUGCACAAUGGGGGAAACCCUGAUGCAGCGAUGCCGCGUGGAGGAAGAAGGUUUUCGGAUUGUAAACUCCUGUCUUAAAGGACGAUAAUGACGGUACUUUAGGAGGAAGCUCCGGCUAACUACGUGCCAGCAGCCGCGGUAAUACGUAGGGAGCGAGCGUUGUCCGGAAUUACUGGGUGUAAAGGGAGCGUAGGCGGGAUGGCAAGUCAGAUGUGAAAACUAUGGGCUCAACCCAUAGACUGCAUUUGAAACUGUUGUUCUUGAGUGAAGUAGAGGUAAGCGGAAUUCCUGGUGUAGCGGUGAAAUGCGUAGAUAUCAGAGGAACAUCGGUGGCGAAAGCGGCUUAYUGGGCUUUUACUGACGCUGAGGCUCGAAGCGUGGGGAGCAAAMAGAUUAGAUACCCUGGUAGUCCACGCUKUAAACGAUGAUUWACUAAGUGUGGGGGGACUGACCCCUUCCGUGCCGCAKUAACACGAUAAGUAAUCCACCUGGGGAGUACGGCCGCAGGUGAACUCAAGGAAUUGACGGGGYCCGCMCMAGCAUGAAUWUGKGUUUAWUUCAAKCAYYGCGAAAA
This 931-nucleotide ribosomal RNA is filed under the name uncultured Bacillota bacterium. Its description in RNAcentral is "bacterial SSU rRNA". Lineage: Bacteria; Bacillati; Bacillota. The record is from RNAcentral.